UCAUGGAGCAUAAUAAAAUUAAUU
RNAcentral lists this non-coding RNA (24 nucleotides) under Cricetulus griseus (Chinese hamster). The record is from RNAcentral. Lineage: Eukaryota; Metazoa; Chordata; Mammalia; Rodentia; Cricetidae.